UCAAGUGACUAAGUGCAUGCGGCGGAUGCCUUGGCGAUCACAGGCGAAGAAAGACGCGGCAGCCUGCGAAAAGCUGCGGGGAGCUGGCAAACGAGCUUUGAUCCGCAGAUAUCUGAAUGGGGGAACCCACACCGCAAGGUGUAUCCGUAGCUCAAUACAUAGGUUACGGAGGCGAACGAGGAGAACUGAAACAUCUAAGUAUCCUCAGGAAAAGAAAUCAACCGAGAUUCCGGCAGUAGCGGCGAGCGAACCCGGAGGAGCCCAGCUUUUGAUAGUACGAACUUUAGCCGAAAGGUCCUGGAAAGGCCUGCUAUAGUGGGUGAUAGCCCCGUAGGCGAAAGAGUUGGUACGGUACUAAGGAAGCGAGAAGUAGAGCGGGACACGUGGAAUCCUGUUCGAAGACGGGGGGACCAUCCUCCAAGGCUAAAUACUCGUGAUCGACCGAUAGUGAACCAGUACCGUGAGGGAAAGGCGAAAAGAACCCCGGGAGGGGAGUGAAAUAGAACCUGAAACCGCAUGCAUACAAACAGUAGGAGCCUCAUCAGAGGUGACUGCGUACCUUUUGCAUAAUGGGUCAGCGACUUACAUUCUGUGGCGAGCUUAACCGAAUAGGGGAGGCGCAGCGAAAGCGAGUUCGAAAUGAGCGUCCAGUCGCAGGGUGUAGACCCGAAACCAGAUGAGCUAUCCAUGGCCAGGUUGAAGGUGUGGUAACACACACUGGAGGACCGAACCGACUAGUGUUGCAAAAUUAGCGGAUGAGCUGUGGAUAGGGGUGAAAGGCCAAACAAAUCUGGAGAUAGCUGGUUCUCCCCGAAAACUAUUGAGGUAGUGCCUCGUGUGUCGCUCCAGGGGGUAGAGCACUGUUUUGGCUAGGGGGACAUGGAGUCUUACCAAACCAAGGCAAACUCCGAAUACCUGGAAGCGUGAGCACGGGAGACAGAGCACCGGGUGCUAACGUCCGGACUCAAAAGGGAAACAACCCAGACCGCCGGCUAAGGUCCCAAAUAACAGCUAAGUGGAAAACGAAGUGGAAAGGCCGUGACAACCAGGAAGUUGGCUUAGAAGCAGCCAUCCUUCAAAGAAAGCGUAAUAGCUCACUGGUCGAGUCCUUCUGCGCGGAAGAUGUAACGGGGCUAAGCUGUUAACCGAAGCCGCGGAUGCACUGGUUAUCCAGUGCGUGGUAGGGGAGCGUUCUGUAAGUCUGCGAAGGCGGUUCGAGAGGACUGCUGGAGAUAUCAGAAGUGCGAAUGCUGACAUGAGUAACGUUAAAGCAGGUGAAAAGCCUGCUCGCCGUAAGCCCAAGGAUUCCUGCUCUACGUUCAUCGGAGCAGGGUGAGUCGGCUCCUAAGGUCAGGCCGAAAGGCGUAGCCGAUGGGAAUCAGGUUAAUAUUCCUGAACCUGCGUCAGAUGCGAUGGGGGGACGGAGCAUGGAAGAUCAUCCGGGUGUUGGAAGUCCCGGUUGUUGAGCGUAGGAGGUCUGCAGGCAAAUCCGCAGACGCAUCUCCAAGGCAAAGACACGUGCCGCCACGGCGGCGAAGUGAUCGGAAGUGCUUCCAAGAAAAGCCUCUAAGCCCCAGUCUGACGCGGACCGUACCGCAAACCGACACUGGUGGGCGAGCUGAAUAUGCUCAGGCGCUUGAGAGAACUCGGGAGAAGGAACUCGGCAAAUUGACACCGUAACUUCGGAAGAAGGUGUGCCGUAGUACCGUGAGAGGAGAGACACCUUGAGCGGGAAACGGUCUCAGAGAAUAGGUGGCUGCGACUGUUUAUUAAAAACACAGCACUCUGCAAAGUCGAAAGACGACGUAUAGGGUGUGAUGCCUGCCCGGUGCUGGAAGAUUAAUUGAUGGGGUGAGAGCCCUUGAUCGAAGUCCCAGUAAACGGCGGCCGUAACUAUAACGGUCCUAAGGUAGCGAAAUUCCUUGUC
This 1927-nucleotide ribosomal RNA is filed under the name human gut metagenome. RNAcentral's name for it is "bacterial LSU rRNA". It matches the Rfam family "Bacterial large subunit ribosomal RNA", at positions 3 to 1973 of the family's 2925-position model. The record is from RNAcentral.